Molecule: long non-coding RNA, 3404 nt
Organism: Chlorocebus sabaeus (green monkey)
Lineage: Eukaryota; Metazoa; Chordata; Mammalia; Primates; Cercopithecidae
Source: RefSeq, a predicted model, not a curated record
UUCUCCGUGUUGGUCAGGCUGGUCUUGAAUUCCCAACCUCAGGUGAUUCGCCCGCCUCAGCCUCCCAAAGCGCUGGGAUUACAGGUGUGAGCCACCGUGCCCUGCCAACUGGCUUGGGUUUUAAAAUUAAGGCUCACUCUAGGACCGUAGGAAGCCAGGGAGAUGGCUGAAGGGAGGCCACAGACAGGUAUCCUGGGAGAAGAGGUGGGACCAGGUGGAGGUUCUACCUGGUUAGGUUUGGGAGAGGCUCAGAGGUUGAGUCAACAAGGGCUCCCCAGACCAGAGGCACUAGGUGAGGGGGAAGGUGCAGGCCGGCUGCCCCUUGCUGGCCUGGGCAGCUGGGAGGUGGUGUCAUCGUUGUCUGGGGGACAAAGCUGGGGCUGUGGGUUUGGGGCUCUGUGUGGGCCAUCUUGAUAUCAGCUUGUCUAUAGACACCCACGCAGAGGUGUUGAGUGGAGCUGGACCCAAGUCCAGGUGUCAGCUCGGAGGGAGCAUUGCCCCCAUGAAAAGAUGGCUGAGUGAGCUCUGGGCUCUCCUGGGUGAAGAGAAGGAGCCGGGCCAGGCUCACACCUGGAAUCUCAGCACUGUGGGAGGCCUAGGCGGGAGGAUCACUUGAGCCCAGGAAUUCGAGACCAGCUGGGCAACACAGUGAGACCCUAACUUUACAGAACAUACCAAAAUUAGCCGGAUGUGGUGGCUUGCACCUGUAAUCCCUGCUACUUGGGGGGCUGAGGUGGGAGCAUCACCUGAGCCUGGGAGGUGGAAGUCGCCGUGAGCUGUGGUUCAACCGCUAGUUCUGCAGCCUGGGGAACAGAGCAAGACCCUGUCUCACAAGAUAAAAAUAAAACAAUAAAGAAAAGAGGAGGAGCCCAGGAAGGCGAUGGGAAGGAGUAGCUGGGGUUGACUCCAGAACACAGGGCUGGGGGUCCUGGAACAGGAGAAGAAGGCACGUCGGGGGGCAGGUGUGCGACACUGCGGCAAUGUCACGUCAGAUAAGGAGAAAGAACUGAGCAGAGGGGUCAGCGCCGGUGAGGCCGUGGCACACCUCACAAUGGGAGAUCUGUGGGUUGGACAGCAGUUCAGGCGUGGGCAUCUCAGCCCCUGGCCAAGGACUGCGUUCUGAGAAAGCUUCAUUGAUCUUACCAGUAGGCGGACGGGGUGGUUCUCACUCUUUCUUGCUGACGUGAAUCAGGGCUCUCCAGCCGCUCCUGGCAGCCAUCUUGUCACCAUGAGGGAACCCAAGAGGAGUGCAGAGAUGCAGAGCCGGACCCUUGAUCGGACCCCUCCUGAAUCCCGCCUCUGGGCUUCCCAAAAAACAGCCCCAGGCUAAAAUGGCUUCUCCAGUGGUCCAGACAGGGAGGGACCUCAGAGCUCACCCACCGCUCACUGGAACCCUCGCUCAAAGGCCAGGGGACGAGACCUCAAGGAGGAAGAGUGUGCCGAGGUCACUCAGAGUGGAGGUUUGAGCCCCGGGUCUCUCCCACCCCACUCCCCAGUGCUCCAGUUACGUGCACACCAGCUAAGCCAGGGGUCACCGUUGCCAGGGGUCACCGUUGCCAGGGGUCACAGGUCGCCCAGCCGGAACAGUGCAGGAGCUGCAGCUGGGUGAGGACAGAGAAGUCCCCUCGGGCAGGCCUGGGAAGGGAGGGGCGUGGUGUUCUCUUCUGCCUGCUGGGGGCCGUUUCUCACUGGUGACCCUAGGAGCCCUGGGUGCUGUGUCCAGACCUGGCCAAUCAGACCAUUGUCCCCGACCAUGGUCACUGACCUGGGGCAGCACAAGCCCAGACUUAGCCAGCGAGAUGCAGUCUUGCAGCUCUGAGUCUGGGGCAGCGAGGGUGUCAGUCUGCCGUCAUGCUGCUGUGAAAGGGAGAUGACGGCAGGACAUAGCACCAAAGACAUGGGCCGAGAGCCCUGAUCCAGCCAUGCCUGAAGCUGCUCACUCCUGAGCCUGACAGAUGGGAGAUGACGGGCAGCCGGGUCCUCCUGCACGAGGCUAAGCAGUCAGGCCAUCGGCCCCCAAGGCAGCGCAUCAGCAGCAAGGACUCAGGAGAUCCCCCGUCUGGCCUCUCCCCCUGAGCUCCCAGGCCAGGGCUGCCGCGGGCACGGACAUCGAUGGGGCUCCUCACCUGAACACCGGAGCUCGAUCUUGCACCUGCAGGGCCGACUGGGGAGUCCUGUCUGGCUUAGAACACCUGCGCACGUCGGGUCCUGUUUGGGAGUCAGAGGGAUGGUGUCUCCGUGUCCCACUGGUCGGCACCAUGCUGGAUGUACGCAGUCCCGUCUGCUGCAGGAACGUGAAUGUGGUCCUGGCGGGCACUGGGGCGGGAGGACCAGCUCCCACCUGCUCCCUGCUUGGGCUGAGGAGAAAGACCAGACAGCCAAAGAGUGGGCACGGGGCUGGGGUGGGGCUGGGGGCUCCCCUCCCUGACUCUCACCUCCUCUCUCUCUGUCUCUCUUACCUCCUGUCUCUCUCUCUCACCUUCUCUUUCUCUUUUACCUCCUCUCUCUCUUAUCCCCUCUCCUGUCUCUCUGUCUCACCCCACCCCGGGGUUUACUUCCUCCCUCAUCUCCUCUCUCUCUGUUUCACCCCCAGCCUCGUGGCUCACCUCCCCGCUCACCUCCUUUUCCUCUUCUUCAGUUUACUGUCUCCCUACCAACUCUCAGCUCCUUUCUCCUCAGCAUCGUUUGGUGCCUGGUGCCCACCCCAGGGAGUUCGGAGUCUGUUUAACAAGAAAGCCAUUUGCCCCCACACCUCACUUGGCCCCCAAGGGCAGUGUGGGUGAAGCAGUUUCUCUCAGUCAGGAAGAGGAGUCAGUCACCCAGACACUCCAGCCUCCCUGUGGCCAGCGCACCUCGCCAUGGCACCAUCACAGGACAGCCACGCCCCCAGUCACACCCGCUGAGCCCCAGCCUGCCCCUGCCUGGUCCGGCUCCCAGGCCUGGGGAAACAGACCUGGCAAGUCUGCGGGGCUGGGGGGUGCGGGGGGGUCUUCAGUACCGCUUCUGUUUUUCCCAUCACAGCAACACUGGAACGGCGGUCAUCACAUCCCAGGUGGGUAAACUGAGGCUCAGGGCCGCAGCGUGAGUUGCUUGAGGUCACACAGUCAGCAGGAGGUCAACUCUGAAGUCCAGCUCUGCCAGCCCAGAAAUGGUGGUGGGAGCCAGCCUGUGUGGUCAGGGGCGCCCCCAGGCAGCACCAUCCGUUCAGAGGGCGCCCAGGGGCCAGAGCCGGGCAGGACCCACCGGGCACACAGCCGCACCAGAGCCACAGCUUCUCACACCCCAGCGCCUCUUAUAAAAGAGAAGCAACAGCGUUUCUGUGGCCGGGCGCGGUGGCUCACGCCUGUAAUCCCAGCACUUUGGGAGGCUGAGGCGGGUGGAUCACGACGUCAGGAGAUCGAGAC